CACGUUUGUAAUAUACAUGUACAUUGUUUUCAAAGAACCAGGUGUGGCGCAUUCACCAGCACACCUCUGCUUACAGGGACAUAUAUAGAUACACUAAGUUUCUAUGGUUUGAAGAGUCCGGACACGGCUUCACUGGGUCCUCUGCCCAGUGUCUUACGGGACUGCAAUCAACAUGCCACCUAGGCUGAAGUCUCAUUUGAAGAAUUAACUGGAGAAUCAUCUUCUUGCAAGCUCAUUCAGGUGGGUCGUGCCUGUCUGGUUUAAAGUUGUAGUCUCAGCCCUCUGCACAGUACCUGCCACAUGACUGACACUGAUAAACAUCUGCUGAAUGAGAAUUCCGGAGCACCACUGCAAACCAUUACAUGUCUCUCAGCUGGUAAGAGCAACAACUUAAAAAUGUGUAGGUGUCAUUGUAUAUGUACUCUGUGCUCGAGUCAGAGUCCCUGGCUAUUUCUUGGCACCCUUAACAGGUACUCAGGUCUCCUUAUUUCUUACCUGGAGGAUUUCAGUGCCUGCCAGCGCAUCUCCUGUCUCCACU
Molecule: long non-coding RNA, 538 nt
Organism: Bos taurus (domestic cattle)
Lineage: Eukaryota; Metazoa; Chordata; Mammalia; Artiodactyla; Bovidae
Source: Ensembl